GUCUAUGACUAUUCCACCCUGAAUAUGCCUGAUCUUGUCUGAUCUCAGAAGCUAAUCAGGGUCAGACUUGGUUAGUACUUGGAUGGGAGACUGCCUAGGAAUACAGGUGUUUUAGGCU
Mesocricetus auratus (golden hamster) is the source of this 118-nucleotide ribosomal RNA. Lineage: Eukaryota; Metazoa; Chordata; Mammalia; Rodentia; Cricetidae. The record is from Ensembl.